This 695-nucleotide ribosomal RNA is filed under the name uncultured bacterium. Its description in RNAcentral is "bacterial SSU rRNA". It matches the Rfam family "Bacterial small subunit ribosomal RNA", at positions 94 to 784 of the family's 1533-position model. The record is from RNAcentral.
AGUGGUGAACGGGUGAGUAAUACAUCGGAACGUGCCCAGUCGUGGGGGAUAACUACUCGAAAGAGUAGCUAAUACCGCAUACGAUCUGAGGAUGAAAGCGGGGGACCUUCGGGCCUCGCGCGAUUGGAGCGGCCGAUGGCAGAUUAGGUAGUUGGUGGGAUAAAAGCUUACCAAGCCGACGAUCUGUAGCUGGUCUGAGAGGACGACCAGCCACACUGGGACUGAGACACGGCCCAGACUCCUACGGGAGGCAGCAGUGGGGAAUUUUGGACAAUGGGCGAAAGCCUGAUCCAGCAAUGCCGCGUGCAGGAUGAAGGCCUUCGGGUUGUAAACUGCUUUUGUACGGAACGAAAAAGCUCCUUCUAAUACAGGGGGCCCAUGACGGUACCGUAAGAAUAAGCACCGGCUAACUACGUGCCAGCAGCCGCGGUAAUACGUAGGGUGCGAGCGUUAAUCGGAAUUACUGGGCGUAAAGCGUGCGCAGGCGGUUAUGUAAGACAGAUGUGAAAUCCCCGGGCUCAACCUGGGAACUGCAUUUGUGACUGCAUGGCUAGAGUACGGGAGAGGGGGAUGGAAUUCCGCGUGUAGCAGUGAAAUGCGUAGAUAUGCGGAGGAACACCGAUGGCGAAGGCAAUCCCCUGGACCUGUACUGACGCUCAUGCACGAAAAGCGUGGGGAGCAAACAGGAUUAGAUA